Molecule: ribosomal RNA, 158 nt
Filed under: uncultured Methylophilaceae bacterium
Lineage: Bacteria; Pseudomonadati; Pseudomonadota; Betaproteobacteria; Nitrosomonadales; Methylophilaceae
Description: partial 16S ribosomal RNA
Rfam family: Bacterial small subunit ribosomal RNA
Source: RNAcentral
AUACAAUGGUCGGUACAGAGGGUUGCCAACCCGCGAGGGGGAGCCAAUCCCAGAAAACCGAUCGUAGUCCGGAUUGCAGUCUGCAACUCGACUGCAUGAAGUCGGAAUCGCUAGUAAUCGCGGAUCAGCAUGUCGCGGUGAAUACGUUCCCGGGCCUU